RNAcentral lists this transfer RNA (75 nucleotides) under Nanobdellota archaeon. RNAcentral describes it as "tRNA-Arg". It matches the Rfam family "tRNA". Rfam says of the family: Transfer RNA (tRNA) molecules are approximately 80 nucleotides in length. Lineage: Archaea; Nanobdellati; Nanobdellota. RNAcentral also lists the same sequence under 2 other names. The record is from RNAcentral.
GCUCGAGUAGCUCAGCCUGGAUAGAGCGAAGCACUCCUAAUGCUUAGGUCGCAGGUUCAAAUCCUGUCUCGGGCG